UCCGGUUUGACACCGGCAGUCUCGCUAGAGUGCCCGGCAUGACCCGAUGGCAACUAACGAUAGGGGUUUCGCUCGUUAGGGGACUUAACCCAACACCUCAAGGCACGAGCUGACGACAGCCAUGCAACACCUGUACUGGUUACACCCGAAGGCAAUCCCCCGGCUUUCACCGGGUUAAUUCCAGCAUGUCAAACCCUGGUAAGGUUCUUCGCGUAACUUCGAAUUAAACCACACGCUCCGCUGCUUGUGCGGGCCCCCGUCAAUUCCUUUGAGUUUUAGCCUUGCGGCCGUAGUCCCCAGGCGGAGUACUUAUUGCGUUAGCUUCGCUACACAGGGAGUCGAUACCCCAUACAGCUAGUACUCAUCGUUUACGGCGUGGACUAC
RNAcentral lists this unclassified non-coding RNA (384 nucleotides) under uncultured bacterium. RNAcentral describes it as "contains 16S-23S intergenic spacer region". The record is from RNAcentral.